UGGGGAAUAUUGGACAAUGGGCGAAAGCCUGAUCCAGCCAUGCCGCAUGAGUGAAGAAGGCCUUUGGGUUGUAAAGCUCUUUUAGUGAGGAAGAUAAUGACGGUACUCACAGAAGAAGUCCUGGCUAACUCCGUGCCAGCAGCCGCGGUAAUACGGAGAGGGCUAGCGUUAUUCGGAAUUAUUGGGCGUAAAGGGCGCGUAGGCUGGUUAAUAAGUUAAAAGUGAAAUCCCGAGGCUUAACCUUGGAAUUGCUUUUAAAACUAUUAAUCUAGAGAUUGAAAGAGGAUAGAGGAAUUCCUGAUGUGGAGGUAAAAUUCGUAAAUAUUAGGAGGAACACCAGUGGCGAAGGCGUCUAUCUGGUUCAAAUCUGACGCUGAAGCGCGAAGGCGUGGGGAGCAAACA
This 402-nucleotide ribosomal RNA is filed under the name uncultured bacterium. RNAcentral's name for it is "partial 16S ribosomal RNA". It matches the Rfam family "Bacterial small subunit ribosomal RNA", at positions 355 to 774 of the family's 1533-position model. The record is from RNAcentral.